Molecule: ribosomal RNA, 253 nt
Filed under: uncultured bacterium
Lineage: Bacteria
Description: partial 16S ribosomal RNA
Rfam family: Bacterial small subunit ribosomal RNA
Source: RNAcentral
UACGUAGGGCGCAAGCGUUAUCCGGAAUUAUUGGGCGUAAAGGGCUCGUAGGCGGUUUGUCGCGUCGUUCGUGAAAACUUGGGGCUUAACUCCAAGCGUGCGGGCGAUACGGGCAGACUUGAGUACUACAGGGGAGACUGGAAUUCCUGGUGUAGCGGUGAAAUGCGCAGAUAUCAGGAGGAACACCGGUGGCGAAGGCGGGUCUCUGGGUAGUAACUGACGCUGAGGAACGAAAGCGUGGGUAGCGAACAGG